Molecule: long non-coding RNA, 434 nt
Filed under: Pan troglodytes (chimpanzee)
Lineage: Eukaryota; Metazoa; Chordata; Mammalia; Primates; Hominidae
Description: lincRNA
Source: RNAcentral
CAAAACAAAAGGGUAAGGAAGAGGAAGGGCCCCCUUUCAACCAAAGUCCAGAAGCCCUCUGAAGUUCCAAAGACAACCUGGAAGGGAAAAGGGACCCUUCGAGAAAGUUCCAGGAAAAAAACCACUCCCAAAAAGACUACCACUUCAAGAAAACCCGAGGAAGGGAAUGGGCCAGCACUAUCCAGCCACUAUGACCAGCUGAAUAGGAAACUCACUCAAAAUGAGCCAUAGCAGGACCAAGUUAGCCAGGAGACCUCCACAAUCUCCAGCGUCUCCCUGGACAGCCAGUAAUUUCAAGGCAAGUUCAGAGGCCUAGAUCUAUCUGAGAGGUCUCCAGAGAUCUGACCCCAGAGAACUAGCUAGCAGGGUCUAGGAUACAUUCUAUACCCCACAGGGUACGCCCCAUGGUGAUGAAAAUAAAAUGAAUCUGUUGU